This 404-nucleotide ribosomal RNA is filed under the name uncultured bacterium. RNAcentral describes it as "bacterial SSU rRNA". It matches the Rfam family "Bacterial small subunit ribosomal RNA", at positions 355 to 776 of the family's 1533-position model. The record is from RNAcentral.
UGGGGAAUAUUGGACAAUGGGCGCAAGCCUGAUCCAGCCAUGCCGCGUGAGUGAUGAAGGCCCUAGGGUUGUAAAGCUCUUUCACCGGUGAAGAUAAUGACGGUAACCGGAGAAGAAGCCCCGGCUAACUUCGUGCCAGCAGCCGCGGUAAUACGAAGGGGGCUAGCGUUGUUCGGAUUUACUGGGCGUAAAGCGCACGUAGGCGGACUUUUAAGUCAGGGGUGAAAUCCCAGAGCUCAACUCUGGAACUGCCUUUGAUACUGGAAGUCUUGAGUAUGGUAGAGGUGAGUGGAAUUCCGAGUGUAGAGGUGAAAUUCGUAGAUAUUCGGAGGAACACCAGUGGCGAAGGCGGCUCACUGGACCAUUACUGACGCUGAGGUGCGAAAGCGUGGGGAGCAAACAGG